GGAAUGACCGUGUCGGCACGUGAGCGGUGAUGGAUUCGCAUGCCACGGCGGGCUCCCUGCCACUGUGCAGCCAACCGGCGUCGCUGCAGCCCCCUCACUCGUGCUCCAACCACACGGAGCCUCCCGCGUUGCCUGUACAACAUACUCGGUUCUCGGGCAAAUGACUUCGUCCGACACGCUCGUCCGCUCCCCUCGCCUUUGUGCGGGCGCGGAGCGGCAACGUCGGCGGUCCUCGUGCUCCCUCGGACGACGGCACGGCUUUGGCCCCUCGUCUCGUCCCGAUCGGCCCUCGAGGAUUCGCCAGCGCUCGCGGACACGGUAGACAAUGUUGGCUCGGGGCCUUCGUAGCCCCCGCACCACGAUCGGUCGGCUCACUUCGCCG
This 382-nucleotide unclassified non-coding RNA is filed under the name Heliconia ramonensis. Its description in RNAcentral is "partial external transcribed spacer". Lineage: Eukaryota; Viridiplantae; Streptophyta; Magnoliopsida; Zingiberales; Heliconiaceae. The record is from RNAcentral.